RNAcentral lists this ribosomal RNA (253 nucleotides) under uncultured bacterium. Its description in RNAcentral is "partial 16S ribosomal RNA". It matches the Rfam family "Bacterial small subunit ribosomal RNA", at positions 524 to 776 of the family's 1533-position model. The record is from RNAcentral.
UACGUAGGGCGCAAGCGUUAUCCGGAUUUAUUGGGCGUAAAGAGCUCGUAGGUGGUUGGUCACGUCUGCUGUGGAAACGCAACGCUUAACGUUGCGCGUGCAGUGGGUACGGGCUGACUAGAGUGCAGUAGGGGAGUCUGGAAUUCCUGGUGUAGCGGUGAAAUGCGCAGAUAUCAGGAGGAACACCGGUGGCGAAGGCGGUUCUCUGGGCAUUUCCUGACGCUGAGGAGCGAAAGCAUGGGGAGCGAACAGG